UUACCUAGUGAGCAGGUAUCAGGUUGAUCAGUAUGUUACCUUGUGAGCAGGUAUCAGGUUGAUCAGGAUGGUGUGUUACCUUGUGAGCAGGUAUCAGGUUGAUCAGUGUGGUGUGUUACCUAGUGAGCAGGUAUCAGGUUGAUCAGUGUGGUGUGUUACCUUGUGAGCAGGUAUCAGGUUGAUCAGUGUGUUACCUAGUGAGCAGGUAUCAGGUUGAUCAGUGUGGUGUGUUACCUAGUGAGCAGGUAUCAGGAUGGUGUGUUACCUUGUGAGCAGGUAUCAGGUUGAUCAGUGUGGUGUGUUACCUAGUGAGCAGGUAUCAGGUUGAUCAGUGUGUUACCUAGUGAGCAGGUAUCAGGUUGAUCAGUGUGUUACCUUGUGAGCAGGUAUCAGGUUGAUCAGUGUGGUGUGUUACCUUGUGAGCAGGUAUCAGGUUGAUCAGGAUGGUGUGUUACCUUGUGAGCAGGUAUCAGGUUGAUCAGGAUGGUGUGUUACCU
Oncorhynchus keta (chum salmon) is the source of this 497-nucleotide long non-coding RNA. RefSeq lists it as uncharacterized. The record is from RefSeq and is a predicted model, not a curated record. Lineage: Eukaryota; Metazoa; Chordata; Actinopteri; Salmoniformes; Salmonidae. The transcript is spliced from 4 exons.